This 72-nucleotide transfer RNA is filed under the name Paramuricea clavata. It matches the Rfam family "tRNA". From Rfam's summary of the family: Transfer RNA (tRNA) molecules are approximately 80 nucleotides in length. Their secondary structure includes four short double-helical elements and three loops (D, anti-codon, and T loops). The record is from Rfam by way of RNAcentral. Lineage: Eukaryota; Metazoa; Cnidaria; Anthozoa; Malacalcyonacea; Plexauridae.
GACUCGAUAGCUCAAUGGGUAGAGCGGCGGUCUAGGUACCCGAAGAUGCGAGUUCAAAUCCCGCUCGAGUCA